This 529-nucleotide long non-coding RNA is filed under the name Lathyrus oleraceus (garden pea). RNAcentral describes it as "Pisum sativum (pea) long non-coding RNA (PSAT_LNC013078)". The record is from RNAcentral. Lineage: Eukaryota; Viridiplantae; Streptophyta; Magnoliopsida; Fabales; Fabaceae.
UUUGUGAGAGCUGAGAGUGAUUGAGAGGGGUUCGUUGAGAGCGAGAGAGGGAUUCGUGUGAGAGACGGAAAGAUGCGAGUGAGAUGCUGAGGUACGAGCGAUUGUGAGAUUGAGAGAAAUGUGAGGUUUGGUGUGAAGGAGAUUGUGAGAGUUGAUGAGCGUUUUCGAGAGCGGAGAGAGAUUUCAUUGAGGUUCUUUGUGUGAAGCAGAUGGGGAGGACGAGGACGAUGAAGCUGCUUCUGUGUUCUCCGUUUCCAUUUUCCUGUUUUUUCUUUUUUUAAUUUAAUUAGUUUUUUAACACAAAAAAACCAUAAAAGAUGUUUAAUUUGUUUUUUUAUUCUUUUUUAUUUUCAUCCCGGUUUAUAUAUUCAACGUAGCAGUACAAUAUUAAAUAACCCUAAGUGGUCUGGUGGAGAAGGGCAGUGUGUAUGUUCUUGAGUGGGGUGGGUUCAAUACUCAUGUGUGGCUUUUUUUGGCAUUUUAUUUCUUUUAGCUAUAUUAUUUUUUCUUUUAGCAUUUUAGUUUCUUU